This 371-nucleotide ribosomal RNA is filed under the name Shewanella sp. LX5. RNAcentral's name for it is "bacterial SSU rRNA". It matches the Rfam family "Bacterial small subunit ribosomal RNA", at positions 37 to 397 of the family's 1533-position model. The record is from RNAcentral. Lineage: Bacteria; Pseudomonadati; Pseudomonadota; Gammaproteobacteria; Alteromonadales; Shewanellaceae.
UGGCGGCAGGCCUAACACAUGCAAGUCGAGCGGUAGCACAAGGGAGCUUGCUCCUGAGGUGACUAGCGGCGGACGGGUGAGUAAUGCCUANGUAUCUGCCCAGUCGAGGGGGAUAACAAUUGGAAACGACUGCUAAUACCGCAUACGCCCUACGGGGGAAAGGAGGGGACCUUCGGGCCUUUCGCGAUUGGAUGAACCUAGGUGGGAUUAGCUAGUACGUGGGGUAAUGGCUCACCUAGGCAACGAUCCCUAGCUUGUCUGAGAGGAUGAUCAGCCACACUGGAACUGAGACACGGUCCAGACUCCUACGGGAAGGCAGCAGUUGGGGAAUCUUGCACUAUGGGCCAAAAGCCCUGAAUGCCCACCCUUGC